This 236-nucleotide non-coding RNA is filed under the name Bacillus sp. (in: firmicutes). RNAcentral's name for it is "Bacillus sp. T-box sequence". It matches the Rfam family "T-box leader". Rfam says of the family: Uncharged tRNA acts as the effector for transcription antitermination of genes in the T-box leader family. T-boxes are found upstream of many aminoacyl-tRNA synthetase genes and some amino acid biosynthetic genes usually in Gram-positive bacteria. The record is from RNAcentral. Lineage: Bacteria; Bacillati; Bacillota; Bacilli; Caryophanales; Bacillaceae. RNAcentral also lists the same sequence under 1 other name.
UGUACAGCGAUGAUAAAGAGUAGUACGUAUUUUCCUUCGUUUUAGAGAGUUUGUGGCUGGUGAAAACAAACACGAAUCAAUACGGAAUGGACUUUGGAGCUUCUUUCUGAACCUUUUUAUAGUAGGAAUAGACGUGAUCCUUGCGUUAAAGGGAUUCAUAAUUACGUUUAAUUAUGAAGCAAGAGUGACUCAUUUUGAGUAAUUUAGGGUGGUACCGCGAACCAUUCGUCCCUAUC